UACGUAGGGUGCAAGCGUUAAUCGGAAUUACUGGGCGCAAAGCGUGCGCAGGCGGUUUUGUAAGUCAGAUGUGAAAUCCCCGGGCUUAACCUGGGAACUGCGUUUGAAACUACAAGGCUAGAGUGUGGCAGAGGGGGGUGGAAUUCCACGUGUAGCAGUGAAAUGCGUAGAGAUGUGGAGGAACACCGAUGGCGAAGGCAGCCCCCUGGGUUAACACUGACGCUCAGGCACGAAAGCGUGGGGAGCAAACAGG
Molecule: ribosomal RNA, 253 nt
Filed under: uncultured bacterium
Lineage: Bacteria
Description: partial 16S ribosomal RNA
Rfam family: Bacterial small subunit ribosomal RNA
Source: RNAcentral